This 431-nucleotide ribosomal RNA is filed under the name uncultured archaeon. RNAcentral describes it as "bacterial SSU rRNA". It matches the Rfam family "Archaeal small subunit ribosomal RNA", at positions 474 to 903 of the family's 1478-position model. The record is from RNAcentral.
UACCAGCUCUCCGAGUGGUGUGGAUGUUUAUUGGGCCUAAAGCAUCCGUAGCUGGCUGGGCAAGUCCCCUGUUAAAUCCACCGAUUUAAUCGUUGGAGUGCGGGGGAUACUGUUAGGCUAGGGGACGGGAGAGGCAGACGGUAUUUUCGGGGUAGGGGUGAAAUCCUAUAAUCCCGGGAAGACCACCAGUGGCGAAGGCUGUCUGCUAGAACGCGCCCGACGGUGAGGGAUGAAAGCUGGGGGAGCGAACCGGAUUAGAUACCCGGGUAGUCCCAGCUAGUAAACGAUGCAGGCUAGGUGUUUGGGCGGCCACGUGCCGCUCUAGUGCCGCAGGGAAGCCGUUAAGCCUGCCGCCUGGGGAGUACGGCCGCAAGGCUAGAAACUUAAAGGAAUUGGGCGGGGAGCACCACAAGGGGUGAAGCUUGCGGUUU